UGGUGGAGUGAUUUGUCUGCUUAAUUGCGAUAACGAACGAGACCUUAACCUGCUAACUAGUGACACAAACCUUUGUGUUUGUGGGCCACUUCUUAGAGGGACUGUCGGCGUUUAGCCGACGGAAGUUUGAGGCAAUAACA
RNAcentral lists this ribosomal RNA (140 nucleotides) under uncultured eukaryote. RNAcentral's name for it is "partial 18S ribosomal RNA". It matches the Rfam family "Eukaryotic small subunit ribosomal RNA", at positions 1299 to 1458 of the family's 1831-position model. The record is from RNAcentral.